GGGGAAUUUUGGACAAUGGGGGCAACCCUGAUCCAGCCAUCCCGCGUGUGCGAUGAAGGCCUUCGGGUUGUAAAGCACUUUUGGCAGGGAAGAAACGGCGCGCCUGAAUAGGGGGCGUCACUGACGGUACCUGCAGAAUAAGCACCGGCUAACUACGUGCCAGCAGCCGCGGUAAUACGUAGGGUGCAAGCGUUAAUCGGAAUUACUGGGCGUAAAGCGUGCGCAGGCGGUUCGGAAAGAAAGGUGUGAAAUCCCAGAGCUUAACUUUGGAACUGCACUUUUAACUACCGGGCUAGAGUAUGUCAGAGGGGGGUAGAAUUCCACGUGUAGCAGUGAAAUGCGUAGAGAUGUGGAGGAAUACCGAUGGCGAAGGCAGCCCCCUGGGAUAAUACUGACGCUCAGGCACGAAAGCGUGGGGAGCAAAC
This 425-nucleotide ribosomal RNA is filed under the name uncultured bacterium. Its description in RNAcentral is "bacterial SSU rRNA". It matches the Rfam family "Bacterial small subunit ribosomal RNA", at positions 356 to 773 of the family's 1533-position model. The record is from RNAcentral.